RNAcentral lists this ribosomal RNA (1527 nucleotides) under metagenome. Its description in RNAcentral is "bacterial SSU rRNA". It matches the Rfam family "Bacterial small subunit ribosomal RNA". The record is from RNAcentral.
AGGGUAUGAUACUGGCUCAGAACGAACGCUGGCGGCGUGGAUUAGGCAUGCAAGUCGAGCGAUGAUUCUCACGAAUCAAAGCGGCGAAAGGGUGAGUAAUGCACAGACAACCUGCCCGCGAGAAAGGGAUAACGGCGCCCGCAAGGGUUCCCGAAAGGGCCGCUAAUACCUUAUGAAGCCGCGUGCUUCAUGGCAUGCGAUGAAAGGGGGCCUCUGUUUCAAGCUCUCGCUCGCGGAGGGGUCUGUGUCCUAUUAGCCAGUUGGUGAGGUAACGGCUCACCAAAGCUAUGAUGGGUAGCGGGCCUGAGAGGGUGGCCCGCCACACUGGGACUGAGACACUGCCCAGACUCCUACGGGAGGCUGCAGUCGAGGAUCGUUCACAAUGCGCGAAAGCGUGAUGACGCAACGCCGCUGCGGGACGAAGGCCUUCGGGUUGUAAACCGCUGUUGGGGAGUAUGAAAGGGAUGGUGCGAAUAGCGCCAUUCACUGACGUCAAUCCCUGAGGAAGCCACGGCUAACUACGUGCCAGCAGCCGCGGUAACACGUAGGUGGCAAGCGUUGUUCGGAAUUACUGGGCUUAAAGGGCGCGUAGGUGGCUUGGUCAGUCGGGCGUGAAAGCCCUCGGCCCAACCGAGGAAGUGCGCUCGAUACUGCCAGGCUUGAGUGCAGGAGGGGAGAGUGGAAUUCCUGGUGGAGCGGUGAAAUGCGUAGAUAUCAGGAGGAACGCCAGUGGCGAAAGCGACUCUCUAGCCUGCAACUGACACUGAGGCGCGAAAGCCAGGGGAGCGAACGGGAUUAGAUACCCCGGUAGUCCUGGCUGUAAACGAUGGGCACUACGUAGGGGGGAUUCCCAUGUUCUCCCUGCCGUAGCGAAAGUAUAAAGUGCCCCGCCUGGGGAGUACGGCCGCAAGGUUAAAACUCAAAGUAAUUGACGGGGGCUCACACAAGCGGUGGAGCAUGUUGCUUAAUUCGAACAACGCGAAGAACCUUACCGGGGUUGAACUACGCGGGAUUAAACUGUGAAAGCAGUGGCUUGCCCUUUGGGUGUAACCGCGAUAGGUGUUGCAUGGCUGUCGUCAGCUCGUGCCGUGAGGUGUUGGGUUAAGUCCCGUAACGAGCGAAACCCUUGUCCUUAGUUGCCAGCGGGUCAUGCCGGGGACUCUAAGGAGACUGCCGGUGUUAAGCCGGAGGAAGGCGGGGAUGACGUCAAGUCGUCAUGGCCCUUAUGCCCCGGGCCGCAAACGUGCCACAAUGGCCGGCACAAAGAGAAGCGAGGCCGAGAGGCGGAGCCAAUCUCACAAAGCCGGUCCCAGUACGGAUUGAGGGCUGAAAUUCGCCCUCAUGAAGCCGGAAUCGCUAGUAAUCGCGGGUCAGCCAUACCGCGGUGAAUGUGUUCCUGAGCCUUGUACACACCGCCCGUCAAGCCACGAGAGCUGGGGGGGCCCGAAGUCGCUGACCUAACCGGCGAAAGCUGGAGGGAGGCGCCGAAGGCCAAACUAGUGAUCGGGACUAAGUCGUAACAAGGUA